Molecule: long non-coding RNA, 215 nt
Filed under: Nicotiana benthamiana
Lineage: Eukaryota; Viridiplantae; Streptophyta; Magnoliopsida; Solanales; Solanaceae
Description: long non-coding RNA (NBEN_LNC030081)
Source: RNAcentral
GAUUAUCUUUGUCCAUAUUUGAGAGGCAUGUUUAAUAAUCAUUUUGGCUAAAAUGAAAUGUUUGAAAUCAUUUUUCUUUAAAUUAAAUAUGCAUGAUUUGAUAGAAAUGAUUUUACAAGAGAAGCCAAGUCUUGAGUUAAUUGUCGGAUCAAGAUCACAAUUAAAGAACGACUCAUGUAUAACUUUAUUUCUUUGCUUGAUCAUGAUCUUUGUUC